Molecule: ribosomal RNA, 460 nt
Filed under: uncultured bacterium
Lineage: Bacteria
Description: partial 16S ribosomal RNA
Rfam family: Bacterial small subunit ribosomal RNA
Source: RNAcentral
CCUACGGGAUGCAGCAGUGAGGAAUUUUGGUCAAUGGACGCAAGUCUGAACCAGCCAUGCCGCGUGCAGGAUGACGGCUCUAUGAGUUGUAAACUGCUCUUGUACGAGGGUAAACCCCGAUACGUGUAUCGGGUUGAACGUAUCAUACGAAUAAGGCUCGGCUAACUCCGUGCCAGCAGCCGCGGUAAUACGGAGGAUCCGAGCGUUAUCCGGAUUUAUUGGGUGUAAAGGGUGUGUAGGCGGUUUGAUAAGUUUGAGGUGAAAUGUCGGGGCUCAACCCCGAAACUGCCUUUUAUACUGUUGGACUAGAGGAUGGUUGCGGUAGGCGGAAUGUAUGGUGUAGCGGUGAAAUGCUUAGAGAUCAUACAGAACACCGAUUGCGAAGGCAGCUUACCAAACUAUAACUGACGUUGAGGCACGAAAGCGUGGGGAGCAAACAGGAUUAGAUACCCGAGUAGUC